This 786-nucleotide long non-coding RNA is filed under the name Gallus gallus (chicken). The record is from RNAcentral. Lineage: Eukaryota; Metazoa; Chordata; Aves; Galliformes; Phasianidae.
GAAAAAUCGAUGAGGAUACUGUCAAACAGUUAGGCUCCAUAUGGAAAGUGUGUUACAACAGCGAGUUGGUAAGCAGCAGCAGAGGCUAGUUCUACUCAGUGUCACCUAACGCUUACACUACCAAUGAAACACUUCAAAAGUUAUGAAGCCCAACCAUUUCCAGCACCAUAGGAGAAAUUACAACAGUCCUAAGUUGUUUAAAAAAAAAAAAUCUCGAAAAAGUUACGGCCUUUGCCAUUCAACCAUAACGUUUGCCAUUUCCAUGUACGAGUUUGCUGUCGGUGUCUGCUCGCCUCCCCUUCCGCCGAUGUGAAGUCGCUGCGCUGCGAUGCUGCUGCUUCCGUGUUACAGAGGUGGGAAGGGGUCAGGUGGUCUGUCCGGUGCGUGGUGGGAAGCGGAGACUUUUAUCCCAGGUACCAGGACUGAGUCUGUUGAGGGAUAUUUACAAAGCUUGGAUCCCGUGGUCCAACACUGACGAAUCGGUUUGCGGGGGAGGUGCUGGGUGUCGAGUAGGUUGGAGAAGUGGGAGAGGUGGCCCCUCCUUCUGUUGAUGUAGUUGGAGGUUUUGUGUCUGGCACUGGCAGAGGCACAGGCCUAGCCAUUGGUGGCGGAGGUGGUGGUGGCAACAUUGGGGUAGGAAGGAAUGGAUUGUGCACCUUGCCUUGGCUGCUACCAUUGGGAUUUAGGAACCCCACCUGUCCAGCCUGCUGACCAGCGUCGGGGCAGACAAGUUGGACAAACUCUUUCAGAGUCUCCUGAGGAUGAUAGCGGAUUGCUGGGUGUGAG